This is a non-coding RNA of Pelobates cultripes (western spadefoot toad), 236 nucleotides long. Lineage: Eukaryota; Metazoa; Chordata; Amphibia; Anura; Pelobatidae. The record is from the annotation of a GenBank genome assembly.
GCUUAUCACGCAGCGGGGGCUGAGCUCACUGUGCGGCACGGGCGGGGCUAAAUUACCCGGGUAACUGGAGCAUAGGAAGCAGGAAGGAGUCCCUGCUUCCCUAACAACCAGUCUCCAGGAGCUCCAAGGGAUGUGGAGGUAAGAAGCAGGUCAGUGUGUGUGUGUGUGUGUGAGAGUGUCUGCCUGUGUGUGUGAGAGUGUGCGACUGUCUGCCUCUGCGUGUGUGUGAGAGUGUG